RNAcentral lists this ribosomal RNA (440 nucleotides) under uncultured bacterium. RNAcentral describes it as "partial 16S ribosomal RNA". It matches the Rfam family "Bacterial small subunit ribosomal RNA", at positions 338 to 795 of the family's 1533-position model. The record is from RNAcentral.
CCUACGGGAGGCAGCAGUGGGGGAUAUUGCACAAUGGGGGAAACCCUGAUGCAGCGACGCCGCGUGGGUGAAGAAGCGCCUCGGCGCGUACAGCCCUGUCAGCAGGGAAGAAAAUGACGGUACCUGAAGAAGAAGCCCCGGCUAACUACGUGCCAGCAGCCGCGGUAAUACGUAGGGGGCAAGCUGUAUCCGGAUUUACUGGGUGUAAAGGGGGCGCAGACGGCGAUGCAAGCCAGGAGUGACAGCCCGGGGCCCAACCCCGGGACUGCUCUUGGAACUGCGUGGCUAGAGUGCAGGAGGGGCAGGCGGAAUGCCUGGUGUAGCGGUGAAAUGCGUAGAUAUCAGGAGGAACACCGGUGGCGAAGGCGGCCUGCUGGACUGCAACUGACGUUGAGGCCCGAAAGCGUGGGGAGCAAACAGGAUUAGAUACCCCAGUAGUC